Molecule: ribosomal RNA, 377 nt
Filed under: uncultured eukaryote
Lineage: Eukaryota
Description: partial 18S ribosomal RNA
Rfam family: Eukaryotic small subunit ribosomal RNA
Source: RNAcentral
CAAUAGCGUAUAUUUAAGUUGCUGCAGUUAAAAAGCUCGUAGUUGGAUUUCGGGUGGGAAUGGCCGGUCCGCCGUUUCGGUGUGCACUUGCUACGCCCACCUUGCUGCCGGGGACGUGCUAUUGAGUUCACGCUCGGGACACGGAGUCGGCGAGGUUACUUUGAGUAAAUUAGAGUGUUCAAAGCAGGCCUACGCUCUGAAUACAUUAGCAUGGAAUAACACGAUAGGACUCUGGCCUAUCUUGUUGGUCUGUAGGACCGGAGUAAUGAUUAAGAGGGACAGUCGGGGGCAUUCGUAUUUCAUUGUCAGAGGUGAAAUUCUUGGAUUUAUGAAAGACGAACUACUGCGAAAGCAUUUGCCAAGGAUGUUUUCAUUAA